This 390-nucleotide unclassified non-coding RNA is filed under the name soil metagenome. Its description in RNAcentral is "partial contains 5.8S ribosomal RNA, internal transcribed spacer 2, and large subunit ribosomal RNA". The stretch from base 1 to 122 matches the Rfam family "5.8S ribosomal RNA", at positions 35 to 154 of the family's 154-position model. The record is from RNAcentral.
GAUGAAGAACGUAGUGAAAUGCGAUACUUGGUGUUAAUUGCAGAAUCCCGUGAACCAUCGAGUCUUUGAACGCAAGUUGCGCCCGAAGCCAUUAGGCCGAGGGCACGCCUGCCUGGGCGUCACACGUCGUUGCCCCCCCAUCUACUCCUUCGGGAUUGCGGGGGGCGGAUGAUGGCCUCCCGUGCGCCUCGCCGCGCGGUUGGCAUAAAUGCCAAGUCCUCGGCGACGCACGCCACGACAAUCGGUGGUUGCGAAACCUCGGUUGCCCGUCGUGUGCGGUCGUCGCGCAUCGAGGGCUCGAAAAAAUUGCCGGGUUCCGGCUCGGCUUUCAACGCGACCCCAGGUCAGGCGGGGUUACCCGCUGAAUUUAAGCAUAUCAAUAAGGGAGGA